UCCGUGUCGUGGAGCAGCUGCUCGGUGUGCGCUUUCCAUCGCCACAAAACCCAUCGUAUAAAUUGGAAAAUUUCAACUACUCGGCCAUCAAUCAGCAGCGAGUCUUUCUUAGUUCCAAGUCUUAGUUUUCCCUUUGGGUGGGAAACUUUUAUAAUUAGCUUCGGGGGCGGCCAAGAUGUGUAAUUUUCCUCGGAUUUGAUGUGAAGAGUGCCAAGAUCUAAUUAAAUCAGGGCAGGCGCAGAACUCUCUAAUCAAGCAUAUAAAUUAAGGAUUACAUUUUCAAUUAUUUGCAAAAAACUUUCCAGACUUUUUGAUAAAAAAUGUUGCAUGCUGGUGUGGAACUUUCCCAGUGGAAAUGUUUGUGCAACUUUAGUUGAAUUCACAAUUAGCCCUGGCCUCUGCUAAUCAUUCCUUUGAAGUGGAUUUCUGAAUGAAAUCAGUGGCUGCCACACAAAACGAAGCAGCCUCCCAAUCCUUUGCCCCAGCAGAGUGCAUACUGAAACAAGUUGUCGGCUGUCUCAAGUUGUGUCCUAGUGUCCAUAUGUGAUUAGUAAUUCAGUUUGAUUGAUUCCUUUUCACGCUUUAAAUGCUUUCAGCAGCCGGAAACAGGAAACUCCAGAGAGUCUACCCUCGUCGCAAUUAAUCUCAGAAUUCUACAGUAAAAUGUUUUACUUCUGGCAGGAAAUUGGAAUACAUUAUCGCCAUCAAUGCAGCGACUCCCCUGAGGCGUGGGAGUACGUGGGCUUGGUUUUAAUUUAAAUGACCCAGCAUCACAUGUGCUGUGUGCAUUUCAGCUUCAAGGACGAAAAGCGAAGUAGAUUUAUUUGGUCGAUAUGCUCUUUUUAUGGGUAAGCUGUAAAAAAAAGUAGUUAAAUUUAAAUCUUCAUAUAUUGCUCUUUAAGUACAAAUUUAUCUAAUCGACGUAUGGGGAUCUAAAAACUAUCAAAAUCCGAAACCAGAAUAUAGCCACUAAACACCAUACCGGAAACAAUCGAAAAUCAAAAAUAGCAAUAUGAAAAUUGAUGCCCAUCUUGGAUUUUCCCAACGAAUAUAUUUCCAGCAUAAAAUGGGAUUGCUAGCCCCAACAAUGGCUGCAAUUAUAACCUAACCGCUUUAGUAUUUGAUGGCCAUUCAAAAAGAGUACAACACAUACGUAGAGCAAAAUGAAACAAAGGCAUUGACAGCUCCAAAACAAUUGCACAACUAAUCAAUGAGAGUCAUCAAUGAACGCCAAUAAGAAGAGAGAAGAGUGCAAUGAAAGUGGAAGAAAGUAGAAACAAAAAAUAAGGAAAACAAUUAAACUAAUUGUCGGCCAUUUAUACGCAACAAAGACACAGACACACUGUGCAAAAAGGGAAACCAAACACAAGAUAAAACGGAAAAGUUCAUACAGAAAAACGAAAAAGAUUUAAAGAAAAAAUUGGAGCAGCUGGAAAGUUUUGCACAGCAUCGAAAAGUAAACCGCUGAAAUUACGGCAGUCGGAAGAAAUACUCGGUUAGAGCAGGCAUCCAUUAACUUGUCCACUAAUGAAACCACAUUGAAAGACUAACCAGCAUCAGCACCAUCAACAUUUCUACCGCUGGCAAUAUCUACUAAUUGACACUGUCUUGUGGGGUAUAAAAUGCGAAUUAGUUCACUGCACAG
Molecule: long non-coding RNA, 1645 nt
Organism: Drosophila pseudoobscura
Lineage: Eukaryota; Metazoa; Arthropoda; Insecta; Diptera; Drosophilidae
Exons: 2
Source: RefSeq, a predicted model, not a curated record